This 416-nucleotide ribosomal RNA is filed under the name uncultured bacterium. Its description in RNAcentral is "bacterial SSU rRNA". It matches the Rfam family "Bacterial small subunit ribosomal RNA", at positions 358 to 771 of the family's 1533-position model. The record is from RNAcentral.
GGAAUAUUGGUCAAUGGGCGGAAGCCUGAACCAGCCAUGCCGCGUGCAGGAUGACUGCCCUAUGGGUUUUAAACUGCUUUUGUCCGGGAAUAAACCUCCUUACGAGUAGUGCGCUGAAUGUAUCGGAAGAAUAAGGACCGGCUCACUCCGUGCCAGCAGCCGCGGUAAUACGGAGGUUCCGAGCGUUAUCCGGAUUUAUUGGGUUUAAAGGGUGCGUAGGCGGCUUGUUAAGUCAGGGGUGAAAUACGGUGGCUCAACCAUCGCAGUGCCUUUGAUACUGACGUGCUUGAAUCCAUAUGAAGUGGGCGGAAUAAGACAAGUAGCGGUGAAAUGCAUAGAUAUGUCUUAGAACUCCGAUUGCGAAGGCAGCUCACUAAGCUGGUAUUGACGCUGAUGCACGAAAGCGUGGGGAUCGA